RNAcentral lists this ribosomal RNA (253 nucleotides) under uncultured bacterium. RNAcentral describes it as "partial 16S ribosomal RNA". It matches the Rfam family "Bacterial small subunit ribosomal RNA", at positions 524 to 776 of the family's 1533-position model. The record is from RNAcentral.
UACGUAGGGUGCAAGCGUUGUCCGGAAUUAUUGGGCGUAAAGAGCUUGUAGGCGGUUUGUCGCGUCUGCUGUGAAAUUUCGGGGCUCAACCCCGAACUUGCAGUGGGUACGGGCAGACUAGAGUGUGGUAGGGGAGACUGGAAUUCCUGGUGUAGCGGUGAAAUGCGUAGAUAUCAGGAGGAACACCGAUGGCGAAGGCAGGUCUCUGGGCCACUACUGACGCUGAGAAGCGAAAGCAUGGGGAGCGAACAGG